AUACAACUUUCAGCAACGGAUCUCUUGGCUCUCGCAUCGAUGAAGAACGCAGCGAAAUGCGAUAAGUAAUGUGAAUUGCAGAAUUCAGUGAAUCAUCGAAUCUUUGAACGCACCUUGCGCCCCUUGGCCAUUCCGAGGGGCAUGCCUGUUUGAGUAUC
This 158-nucleotide ribosomal RNA is filed under the name uncultured Thelephoraceae. RNAcentral's name for it is "5.8S ribosomal RNA". It matches the Rfam family "5.8S ribosomal RNA". Rfam says of the family: 5.8S ribosomal RNA (5.8S rRNA) is a component of the large subunit of the eukaryotic ribosome. It is transcribed by RNA polymerase I as part of the 45S precursor that also contains 18S and 28S rRNA. Lineage: Eukaryota; Fungi; Basidiomycota; Agaricomycetes; Thelephorales; Thelephoraceae. The record is from RNAcentral.